GAUGAACGCUGGCGGCAUGCCUAACACAUGCAAGUCGAACGAGACCUUCGGGUCUAGUGUCGCCCGGUUGCGUAACGCGUGGGAACCUGCCCUUAGGUUCGGAAUAACUCCCCGAAAGGGGUGCUAAUACCGGAUAAUGUCUUCUGACCAAAGAUUUAUCGCCUUUGGAUGGUCCCGCGUUGGAUUAGCUAGUUGGUAGGGUAAAAGCCUACCAAGGCGACGAUGCAUAGCUGGUCUGAGAGGAUGAGCAGCCACACUGGGACUGAGACACGGCCCAGACUCCUACGGGAGGCAGCAGUGGGGAAUAGUGGACAAUGGGCGAAAGCAUGAACCAGCAAGGACGCGUGAGUGAUGAAGGCAUUAGGGUUGAAAAGCGCAUGUAACCGGGAUGAUAAUGACAGUACCGGGAGAAUAAGCCACGGCUAACUACGUG
This 433-nucleotide ribosomal RNA is filed under the name uncultured bacterium. RNAcentral's name for it is "partial 16S ribosomal RNA". It matches the Rfam family "Bacterial small subunit ribosomal RNA", at positions 28 to 507 of the family's 1533-position model. The record is from RNAcentral.